This is a long non-coding RNA of Patiria miniata (bat star), 2835 nucleotides long. RefSeq lists it as uncharacterized. Lineage: Eukaryota; Metazoa; Echinodermata; Asteroidea; Valvatida; Asterinidae. The transcript is spliced from 3 exons. The record is from RefSeq and is a predicted model, not a curated record.
UUCGACAUUAAUCCAACAUUGAAUGUUGGUUGAAAUUGCGUCGCGAUAUUAUCAACCUAAAUUCAAUGUCUAGCCAACGUCGGUUUUGUAACGUUGUUUCAACGUCCAUAUUUCGACAUUAAUCCAACGUUAAAUGUUGGUUGAAAUUGCGUCGCGAUAUUAUUAACCAAAACUCAAUGUCUAUUCAACGUCGGUUUGGUAACGUUGUUCCAACGUACAUAUUUCGACAUUAAUCUAACGUUGGAUAAAUGUUAAAAUUGCGUCGCGAUAUUAACAACCUCAAACUAACGUCUCUCUGACGUCGGUUUGGUAACGUUGUUCCAACGUACAGAUUUCGACAUUAAUCUGACGUCGAAUAAAAGUUUAAAUUGCGUCACGAUAUUGACAACCGAAAUUCCAUGUCUAUUCAACGUCAGUUUGGUAACGUUGUUCCAACGUACAGAUUUCAACAUUAAUCUGACGUUGAAUAUGCGUUUAAAUUGCGUCACGAUAUUAACAAUGUUAAAUUCAAUGUCUAUCAAUCGUCAGUUUUGUAAUUGUUCCAACGUAUUUUGACAUUAUUCUGAUGUUGGAUAAAUGCUUAAAAUUGCGUCGUGAUAACGACCUAAAUGUACCAACGUCGGUUUGGUAAACUUUGUUUAACAUACGGAUUUUAAUUAGUCCAAAGUUGAAAACAUGUCGAAAUUAAGUGCGUCGCAAUCAAACAUAUUGCAUUGCUUUGAAAUUGAGUAUCCUCGCGGUUACUUCAACGUCAGUCCUGCUGUAUCAAUUAACGUAUAAUUUUAACUAUCAAAGUGCAAAAUAUUAUGUCAAGAAAUAUAAACAAAAUAGCCGACUUAAUUGAACUUUGUGGCCUUUUUUAUGAAAACAUAUUAUUUGUCAGCACGCCAAAGCUGUGACGCUAGCCAAUCACACGGCGCGUAAUUUGUUCUACAUUCCAAGGUUGUGACGCUGGCCAAUCAGUUUUCAUGUACUCUCUUUGAAUCACGAUAUGGCGCGCAAGCAUAUGACCGUUACAUAUUUCGACAUCAUACUGCAGUUGUGUGGACGUGUAGCGUGCAGCCGACAUCAUUUUACUCAAAUAACAGGUAAGAAUUUUGCCAUCAAAAUUCGUAGUUAUUGUUAUGAUGUUGCUUAGACAUACCUGACGUUUAUUCGAAGCACUUACUUAUUAAUUGCAACCAAUUUCUCCCCAAAACGAUAAACAAAUAUUGACACAUCACUGGGGUCGGGGACACUGGCAUGCAUGGUCACUGAUGAUACCGGCGUCCGGUACGUAUGGGAACCAGGUCGACCGCAUGCAUCCCGGCACUCGGAACAGUGUAUUGCUGAGCUGUACUAAAACGGGUUCAAUGGGAAAGUAGUGAGAGAAAUCCUGAGAAAUAAUCCUCCAUUGGCGUUUUGAACUGUACAGUAUAAUGGACGUGUGACUUAAACUUUCCGAGACGAUAUUGUUACCAUGAAUAAAUGUGGCUCAAUUACUGGAUUUCCUUUGUAUUGAAAAGUUGUUUCUGAGGAAAUAGAAAUUGCAUUUUUUUUCACUUGGUAGACCUUAUGGACAUGAAAUGCAUGAUGAUGAAAUGUACUUAAGCCUACCUGGUUAAAAAAAAUAAUAACCAGGAAAAAUAUAAUUCGAUUUUCUGCACUGUAGAGUUUCAGUUUUCAUGUAAUUUUCAGGCUAAAAAGUAAAAAUGGAUCGUCCAAAAGUGAUUGUAGAAUGGAAUGCAGUAUAUUUUCUCGAGGUCAACUACUGCCAUACUGGAUUUCUUCGUACAGCUACACAGCGGUGAUAGGUCGUGGGUCAUGUACAUUAUACCGUUUUACUUCCCCUGAUUAUUAAACCAGGUGGGUUAUCUUCCAUAGGGAAUAGGCCUAUCAAGUGGGGGAUAAACACUCCCGAUUUCGAUUUCACAUGUUGCUGUCACCACCCCGGUGCUCUUGUACAUGUACAAGUCACAAAACGGAGGAAGUUGCUGGGUAGUUCCUUGAUCCUUUGUGUAAAACUAAAAGUUGCUGUGACAAUAGUGAGAAUGCAUAACACAAAUUUCUGUAUCAAAACUUUAGGUAAAUGCAAGCAUGGAUAAUUAUACCGCUGUUUGUAGCCUGUGCUGUGAAUGGUGCAAUAACAAAAUGGACUCACGGUGCAGGGAGUGAGUAAUUACGUAAAUGUAUUGGCCUAAGUAAUCAAUCAUUGCAUAGGCAGGUGGUAUUUCUACAUAAACUUGUUUUUGUUUUGUGUAGAUACUAGACAUGGUUUGCAUAUUUUUUGGGGAGUAUGCAGAGUCUAAGUUUGGCAGGUAGGACAGGUAGGGUAGUUAAUCUCACUUUUUCAGCUUCUGAAGAAAAAAAUCCUUUUCAAAAUUCCAGAAGAGUUUACAAGACCUCACAGAUGACGAAACCCCACUCAGCAAUGAUUCAUACAGGAAUUGAGGAGGAGCCAAAGUCAGCAUGGAUUGUCGAACCAGUAUGGAGGAGUUAUGUAUGACUUUCGAAGAUGCUUCAGUUUGAAAUCUUUCGGACAGUACUCGCAGUGCCGUAGCUGGUGCAUGACCAAGUGAUUGAAGACAGUUCAACAAUGAUGGGCAGAGUGGAACUGAAAAAAAGCAGAUGAGGAGACGGACCUUUUCAGUUUCGCAGCGAGGUCUAGUAACUUCGUAAUCGGGCAAGGUGAUGGAUGUUGCUGCUUGUUGAGUUUUUCAUCUCCUGUCAAGUUUGCGCCUGAAAGAAGAGGUGAUGGAGGGACACACUAAGGGCCCAUGCACCUUCACAUUCAGUCGUACCUUUGGACUGUGUUAAAUAUUUCAAUAUUGGAACAGUUGAUUAAUAGUAAUUGUU